AUUGAACGCUGGCGGCAGGCCUAACACAUGCAAGUCGAACGGCAACAGAGUAUGAGCUUGCUAUUACUGGUGGCGGGGGGAGUACGAGUGCGGAAUACAUCGGGAUCUAGUUUUUCGCGGGGGAUAACGUUGGCAAAUUUACGAUACUACCGAAGACGAACAGCGGGUGAAAGCAAGGGCUUUUCGGACUUUACGCGCCUGAAGGAGACGAUGUCGGAUUAGCUAGUUGGCGGGGUAAAGGCUCACCAAGGCGACGAUCCGUAGCUGGUCUGAGAGGAUGAUCAGCCACACUGGAACUGAGACACGGUCCAGACUCCUACGGGAGGCAGCAGUGGGGAAUAUUGGACAAUGGGCGCAAGCCUGAUCCAGCCAUACCGCGUGGGGGAUGAAGGCCUUCGGGUUGUAAAGUCCUUUUGUUGGGAAAGAAAAGCAUCAGGUUAAUACCCGGCUGUUAUGACGGUACCCAAAGAAUAAGCACCGGCUAACUACGUG
RNAcentral lists this ribosomal RNA (492 nucleotides) under uncultured bacterium. RNAcentral's name for it is "partial 16S ribosomal RNA". It matches the Rfam family "Bacterial small subunit ribosomal RNA", at positions 30 to 507 of the family's 1533-position model. The record is from RNAcentral.